RNAcentral lists this ribosomal RNA (657 nucleotides) under uncultured bacterium. RNAcentral's name for it is "bacterial SSU rRNA". It matches the Rfam family "Bacterial small subunit ribosomal RNA", at positions 188 to 848 of the family's 1533-position model. The record is from RNAcentral.
GCAUGGUCUUGUUAUUAAAGAAUUUCGGUUAUCGAUGGGGAUGCGUUCCAUUAGGCAGUUGGUGAGGUAACGGCUCACCAAACCUUCGAUGGAUAGGGGUUCUGAGAGGAAGGUCCCCCACAUUGGAACUGAGACACGGUCCAAACUCCUACGGGAGGCAGCAGUGAGGAAUAUUGGUCAAUGGGCGCAGGCCUGAACCAGCCAAGUAGCGUGAAGGAUGACUGCCCUAUGGGUUGUAAACUUCUUUUAUAUGGGAAUAAAGUUUUCCACGUGUGGAAUUUUGUAUGUACCAUAUGAAUAAGGAUCGGCUAACUCCGUGCCAGCAGCCGCGGUAAUACGGAGGAUCCGAGCGUUAUCCGGAUUUAUUGGGCUUAAGGGGAGCGUAGGUGGACAGUUAAGUCAGUUGUGAAAGUUUGCGGCUCAACCGUAAAAUUGCAGUUGAUACUGGCUGUCUUGAGUACAGUAGAGGUGGGCGGAACUCGUGGUGUAGCGGUGAAAUGCUUAGAUAUCACGAAGAACUCCGAUUGCGAAGGCAGCUCACUGGACUGCAACUGACACUGAUGCUCGAAAGUGUGGGUAUCAAACAGGAUUAGAUACCCUGGUAGUCCACACAGUAAACGAUGAAUACUCGCUGUUUGCGAUAUACAGUAAGCGGCC